This 459-nucleotide ribosomal RNA is filed under the name uncultured bacterium. RNAcentral describes it as "partial 16S ribosomal RNA". It matches the Rfam family "Bacterial small subunit ribosomal RNA", at positions 338 to 795 of the family's 1533-position model. The record is from RNAcentral.
CCUACGGGAGGCAGCAGUGAGGAAUAUUGGUCAAUGGUCGGGAGACUGAACCAGCCAAGCCGCGUGAGGGAUGAAGGUACAGAGUAUCGUAAACCUCUUUUGUCAGGGAACAAAGGCGGGGACGUGUCCCCGGCUGAGUGUACCUGAAGAAAAAGCAUCGGCUAACUCCGUGCCAGCAGCCGCGGUAAUACGGAGGAUGCGAGCGUUAUCCGGAUUUAUUGGGUUUAAAGGGUGCGCAGGCGGUCUGUUAAGUCAGUGGUCAAAGCCCGGGGCUCAACCCCGGCCCGCCGUUGAAACUGGCAGUCUCGAGUUGGAGAGAAGUAUGCGGAAUGCGCGGUGUAGCGGUGAAAUGCAUAGAUAUCGCGCAGAACUCCGAUUGCGAAGGCAGCAUGCCGGCUCCACACUGACGCUGAGGCACGAAAGCGUGGGUAUCGAACAGGAUUAGAUACCCCUGUAGUC